GGGGGCCAGACCCUUUGGCUGCAGCCUCCCCAGCCUAAGCUGCAGACACUGGGAAACCUUAGUCCUCCUACUUCUGGAAAAGGCUGAAAUCUGACCAGUGACAAGAGCUGCUUCCAAAGGGAAGUGUGGGCAAAUGCAUCUUCAGGCUCUAAAAAUCUAAACCUCCAGUAUGAUGGACAUUAGCUCCUGCAGCAAAAGAGUUACUAUUCAUUGAGCACUUACUAUGUGCUGGGCACAAUGUUUGGCACAAGAACAGUACGAUGCAAAAAGCUCUAACUUCCUGGAUCCCAGCCCAGCUCCACCAUUACUCAGCUGUGUGUUGUGCAUGCAAAUUAUUUAUCAGGACAGAGCCAGCCACUGAAGGCUGUCCCUAGACAUCUUGGAAAGCGAUAAAAGGCUGGAUAAUGGGGAGGGGGAAGGAAGCCAGUACAGCAGCAGGAGUGAGAAGAUGAGAGAAAAGAAGGAAGGGAGGAUACUGCCUUGCACUCCUAGUAUUGGAGGCCUCUGAGCCUCCUGUUGGGAAGAACAGAGGAAAUUAGAAGCUGGUAGUUCUGGUCUCCCCUUCUGCACAACCCGCCAUGGCCCCCACUCCCAGAUCCAGUAGCUCACAGAGGAGCAGCAUGGUAGAGAAAAUCAGAUGAUGACAUCAAGAAACCAGGGAUGUUUUGGAGGCCCACUGAGAGAACUGAUGUAAAAUGCUCUAAAGAUGAAGAGAAUUACAACAAAUCACUCAUGGAUGGAGGCAGAACAAGUUCAGCUCAGCUUCAUGGGACUGGCCAGUUCUUACUGUGGUCCUAGGAGGUAUUGGGGACCCUUUUUGGCAUGAGAGUUGCAGUGGCACUGAGAUGACAGGAAUAAGUGAGCAAAGCCUGUUUGAGGUCUAGGAAGAAGAGGUGUGGUAACGGUACCUUAAGAACUGGAGAAACUUCUGGACCUUCACUGCCAAUGCACAACCAUCACCGCCACCAAGCUUCAGCAAUCUCUCCCUUGGACAGCUACCUGCUGUGAAAAUACUUGCUUAAUGUAGUUCCUCUUGAAAAUGUUGUUCCUGCAUUAUGACUUUCAUUACACAUUUCCCAAUGAGCUUUGUUUGGUUAUUUUACUUGUGUUUCUAUUGACAGGGCAUAGGAUGAAACACCUUCUAAUUACCUCUGAAUAUCUUUACUGGUUAUCUAUGGCUGUGUACAAACCAUCCAAAACUCAGUGGCUUAACACACCCAUUUACAGAGGUCAUGAUUCUGUAGGUUUGUAUUUGGGCUAUCUUCAGGCAGGCAGUUCCACUGCUGAUCUUGGCUGGGCUCAUUCACUUUGUGUAUAGUUUUGAGUCAGUUGGGAAGCUCUGCUUUGGAGAUAGGCUGGCUAUCAACUCUGUGGUUAUGGGUAUCAACUGAGCCAUGUGUUUUUUAUCAUCUAGGAGGGUAGUCUGGGCUUGAGCACAUGAUGGUAGUCUCAGUAUUCCAAGAAGAGCAAGAGAUGUAGCUGCAAUGCCUCUUGAACUAGGCUUAUAACUCACCCAGUGUCAUUUAUAUUAUUGGCCAAAGCAAGUCACAAAGCCAGCCUGAAAUGCACUCCACCUCAUGAUGGGAGAAUUUGCAAAGUGCUGUGGCAAUUUUCCCAAUAUGCUUCAAGGUGUAUAAACUUUCUUCCAUUAAUCCUGGCAUAUGCAAGGAGGAAAGAAUGGAAAACAUUCCAAAGAAAGUUUUUGUUAUUGUUGUUAUUUUCUAUAACCAUAACAAAUACUGGAAGCAUGAUGAUUCCCUAUUGUUUACACAUUAUCAUUAUUAUUUAUUGAGCACCUCAUAUGUGCCAGAGACCAGUCA
RNAcentral lists this long non-coding RNA (1820 nucleotides) under Homo sapiens (human). RNAcentral's name for it is "HSALNT0006642". The record is from RNAcentral. Lineage: Eukaryota; Metazoa; Chordata; Mammalia; Primates; Hominidae.